AUUGAACGCUGGCGGCAUGCCUUACACAUGCAAGUCGAACGGUAACAGGUCUUCGGAUGCUGACGAGUGGCGAACGGGUGAGUAAUGCAUCGGAACGUGCCCAGUAGUGGGGGAUAGCCCGGCGAAAGCCGGAUUAAUACCGCAUACGACCUGAGGGUGAAAGGGGGGGAUCGCAAGACCUCUCGCUAUUGGAGCGGCCGAUGUCAGAUUAGCUAGUUGGUGGGGUAAAGGCCUACCAAGGCAACGAUCUGUAGUUGGUCUGAGAGGACGACCAGCCACACUGGGACUGAGACACGGCCCAGACUCCUACGGGAGGCAGCAGUGGGGAAUUUUGGACAAUGGGCGCAAGCCUGAUCCAGCAAUGCCGCGUGCAGGAAGAAGGCCUUCGGGUUGUAAACUGCUUUUGUCAGGGAAGAAAUCUUCUGGGUUAAUACCUCGGGAGGAUGACGGUACCUGAAGAAUAAGCACCGGCUAACUACGUGCCAGCAGCCGCGGUAAUACGUAGGGUGCGAGCGUUAAUCGGAAUUACUGGGCGUAAAGCGUGCGCAGGCGGCUUUGCAAGACAGAGGUGAAAUCCCCGGGCUCAACCUGGGAACUGCCUUUGUGACUGCAAGGCUAGAGUACGGCAGAGGGGGAUGGAAUUCCGCGUGUAGCAGUGAAAUGCGUAGAUAUGCGGAGGAACACCAAUGGCGAAGGCAAUCCCCUGGGCCUGUACUGACGCUCAUGCACGAAAGCGUGGGGAGCAAACAGGAUUAGAUACCCUGGUAGUCCACGCCCUAAACGAUGUCAACUGGUUGUUGGACGGCUUGCUGUUCAGUAACGAAGCUAACGCGUGAAGUUGACCGCCUAGGGAGUACGGCCGCAAGGUUGAAACUCAAGGAAUUGACGGGGACCCGCACAAGCGGUGGAUGAUGUGGUUUAAUUCAAUGCAACGCGAAAACCUUACCUACCCUUGACAUGCUAGGAAUCUUGCAGAGAUGUGAGAGUGCUCGAAAGAGAACCUAGACACAGGUGCUGCAUGGCCGUCGUCAGCUCGUGUCGUGAGAUGUUGGGUUAAGUCCCGCAACGAGCGCAACCCUUGUCAUCAGUUGCUACGAAAGGGCACUCUGAUGAGACUGCCGGUGACAAACCGGAGGAAGGUGGGGAUGACGUCAGGUCCUCAUGGCCCUUAUGGGUAGGGCUACACACGUCAUACAAUGGCCGGUACAGAGGGCUGCCAACCCGCGAGGGGGAGCCAAUCCCAGAAAGCCGGUCGUAGUCCGGAUCGCAGUCUGCAACUCGACUGCGUGAAGUCGGAAUCGCUAGUAAUCGCGGAUCAGCUUGCCGCGGUGAAUACGUUCCCGGGUCUUGUACACACCGCCCGUCACACCAUGGGAGCGGGUUCUGCCAGAAGUAGUUAGCCUAACCGCAAGGAGGGCGAUUACCACGGCAGGGUUCGUGACUGGGGUG
This 1449-nucleotide ribosomal RNA is filed under the name uncultured bacterium. RNAcentral describes it as "bacterial SSU rRNA". It matches the Rfam family "Bacterial small subunit ribosomal RNA". The record is from RNAcentral.